ACGGAGCGGCAGACGGGAGAGUAACACGUGGGAACGUACCCUUUGGUUCG
Molecule: ribosomal RNA, 50 nt
Filed under: uncultured Bradyrhizobiaceae bacterium
Lineage: Bacteria; Pseudomonadati; Pseudomonadota; Alphaproteobacteria; Hyphomicrobiales; Nitrobacteraceae
Description: partial 16S ribosomal RNA
Source: RNAcentral